UCAGUUCAGACUGCAGGCUGCAACUCGCCUGCACGAAGUCGGAAUUGCUAGUAAUCGUAGGUCAGCAUACUACGGUGAAUACGUUCCCGGGCCUUGUACACACCGCCCGUCACACCAUGAGAGUCGGGAACACCCGAAGUCCGUAGCCUAACAGCAAUGAGGGCGCGGCCGAAGGUGGGUUCGAUAAUUGGGGUGAAGUCGUAACAAGGUAUC
Molecule: ribosomal RNA, 213 nt
Filed under: uncultured bacterium
Lineage: Bacteria
Description: partial 16S ribosomal RNA
Rfam family: Bacterial small subunit ribosomal RNA
Source: RNAcentral